This is a non-coding RNA of Acanthosepion pharaonis, 109 nucleotides long. Lineage: Eukaryota; Metazoa; Mollusca; Cephalopoda; Sepiida; Sepiidae. The record is from the annotation of a GenBank genome assembly.
UUACGGCCACACCACGUUGAAAAACCGGUCCCAGUACGAUCACUGAAGUUGAGCAACGUCGAGCCUGGUCAGUACCUAGAUGGGUGACAGCUUGGGAAUACCACGUGCU